This 557-nucleotide ribosomal RNA is filed under the name uncultured bacterium. RNAcentral describes it as "bacterial SSU rRNA". It matches the Rfam family "Bacterial small subunit ribosomal RNA", at positions 8 to 563 of the family's 1533-position model. The record is from RNAcentral.
AGAGUUUGAUCAUGGCUCAGGAUGAACGCUGGCGGCGUGCUUAAUACAUGCAAGUCGAACGAAGCACCUUGGACAGAAUCCUUCGGGAGGAAGACCAUUGUGACUGAGUGGCGGACGGGUGAGUAACGCGUGGGUAACCUGCCUUGUACAGGGGGAUAACAGUUGGAAACGACUGCUAAUACCGCAUAAGCGCACAGUACCGCAUGGUACGGUGUGAAAAACUCCGGUGGUACAAGAUGGACCCGCGUCUGAUUAGCUGGUUGGUGAGGUAACGGCCCACCAAGGCGACGAUCAGUAGCCGACUUGAGAGAGUGAUCGGCCACAUUGGGACUGAGACACGGCCCAAACUCCUACGGGAGGCAGCAGUAGGGAAUAUUGCACAAUGGGGGAAACCCUGAUGCAGCGACGCCGCGUGAAGGAAGAAGUAUUUCGGUAUGUAAACUUCUAUCAGCAAGGAAGAAAAUGACGGUACUUGACUAAAAAGCCCCGGCUAAAUACGUGCCAGCAGCCGCGGUAAUACGUAUGGGGCAAGCGUUAUCCGGAUUUACUGGGUGUAA